Molecule: ribosomal RNA, 426 nt
Filed under: uncultured bacterium
Lineage: Bacteria
Description: partial 16S ribosomal RNA
Rfam family: Bacterial small subunit ribosomal RNA
Source: RNAcentral
GUGGGGAAUAUUGCGCAAUGGGGGAAACCCUGACGCAGCAACGCCGCGUGAGUGAUGAAGGCUUUCGAGUCGUAAAACUCUGUCUUUGGGGACGAAUAAUGACGGUACCCAAGGAGGAAGCCCCGGCUAACUACGUGCCAGCAGCCGCGGUAAUACGUAGGGGGCGAGCGUUGUCCGGAAUCACUGGGCGUAAAGGGCGCGUAGGCGGUUUGUUAAGUCAGGUGUGAAAGUUUUCAGCUUAACUGGAAAAGUGCACUUGAAACUAACUUACUUGAGUACUGGAGAGGUAAGCGGAAUUCCUAGUGUAGCGGUGAAAUGCGUAGAUAUUAGGAAGAACACCGGUGGCGAAGGCGGCUUACUGGACAGAGACUGACGCUGAGGCGCGAAAGCGUGGGGAGCGAACAGGAUUAGAAACCCUGGUAGUCC